Molecule: long non-coding RNA, 358 nt
Organism: Mesocricetus auratus (golden hamster)
Lineage: Eukaryota; Metazoa; Chordata; Mammalia; Rodentia; Cricetidae
Exons: 3
Source: RefSeq, a predicted model, not a curated record
AUGUAACGCCAUUGGGGUAGGAAGCCCGGAAACCUCUCUCUCCGAUGAAAUAUAGCCACUGAAAUGUAACCCAGGAUUGUUUUCUUCAAGACCUGAUCUUCAUAUCUUUGUCGGACUCUGGUCCCUCUGGGAUCUCUGAGGUUGGGGCCCAUGGAAAAGCAGCCAGUGGUUUCUCCCAGCAGAGAGGAAGAACUUGUCCUGCAUGAGCAUCCUUGACAAAAGGAGACACAGGAUCACCUCAGAAACUUAAAGCUAAUUCACAAGAUGUCUUUGAAAUAAGUAGCUACCGUCUGCAUACUGUCUAAACUACAUCACGGUCUCAUCAGUUAAAAAGAAACACGCUGUUGAAUUCACCAAA